GGGGGCGGGGCUUUUGGGGGCUGGGUAGAGAGAAAGGGGGCAGAUGACAACUCUACGAAGAACAACAAAAACAACAACUAAAAUAGAACCAAUCCAAAGGAAGGGAAAACAAGGCAGCAGCCCAUCCUGGAGCAGGUGGCGAUGCUUUGCAUGGGGCUGGCACUGCGAGUGGCUUGUGGUAUGUCAGCGUGCUGCUAGGUUUUGAGUGGGAUUUGUGAGCGCAUCUGUGGGCGAUGGAUCCAUCUUUGUAGGGAGUGUGCAGAAGCAUGAGUGUGGACCUGGAUCUGUGGGUUCUGUGCUUGGAGGAGUGCGUUUUUGUGAGAAUCUCUGUCGUCUGCAUUUGUGUGUAUUUUGAAUUUGAACAUGAAGUGAGACAGUCUUGUCUGCCAUUGCCGGUGUCGACUCUGUACCUGUUUGCAUGAACUUGAGAGAGACAUGAAAACGUUUUGGACACAAGUGUAACAAAGCUGUUUGGAACAUGGAUCUCUACUUUCCACAAACCCAGACAGAGGUUUAUCUUAACAAAUCAUGACAGCAUUAAAAGUACAAAGUAAUCAGCAGAAUAGUAAUAUUUCCUGAAUGACAACUGGAAGCUAAACAUGCCCCAAUAUCUGUGUGAAACGGAUACUAAUUCGUUAGCUUUGUCUUAUAGCAGAUGAAAUUGAAGAUAGAUAGAUUAUUUGCACAACUUCCUCCUCUCAUCAAGUGGUCUGGUCAGCAUUUGAAUCUAGACUUAGCCUCUUUAUUGUACUGACCUUCCUGGCUGCCGAGAUAUGUAGUUUUCUAUUGAGGGGGGAGGGAAGGCUCUGUAAGACAUGGGGUGUUUAUUUGUUGUUGGUUGUUGUUUUUGAGAUGUCAUCUGGGGAGUUCCCUUCGUGAUGCAGCGGAAAUGAAUCUGACUAGUAUCUGUGAGGUUGCAGGCUCGAUCCCUGGCCUCGCUCAGUGGGGUUAAGGAUCUGGCAUUGCCAGCAAGCUGUGGUGUAGGUAGCAGACAGGGUUUCGAUCCCACGUUGCUGUGGCUGUGGCUCUGAUUAGACCCCUGGUCUGGGAACUUCCAUAUGCCACAGGUGUGGCCCUAAAAAACCAAAACAAAACAAAACAAAACACCCAUAAGAUUAAAACAAAUUAGAAUGAAGAGAUAAGUAAGAUGUGGUCUUUCCACACAGUGGAAACUAUUCGUCUUAAAAAGGGAAGAGGAUUCUGUACUAGAACAUGGAUGCAACUUGAGGACAUUAUACUAAGUGAAAUAAGCCAGUCACAAAAAGACAGGCACAUUACAAUUAAUAUAUACAUUAUCGUUAUGUAUACAAUACAUAUAAGUAUGAGGUGCUUAGAGUAGUCAAAAUUGCAGCAACAGAAAGUAAAAUGGGGGGAGUUCCCAUCAUGGCGCAACAGAAACAAAUCCAACUAGGAACCAUGAGGUUGCAGAUUCAAUCCUUGGACUCGCUGAGUGGGUUAAGGAUAUGGCAUUGCCAUGAGCUGUGGUGUAGGUCACAGAUGUGGCUCGGAUCUGGUGUUGUGUGGCUGUGGCGUGGGCUGGGAGCUGCAGCUCUGAUAGAACCCCUAGCCUGGGAACCUCCAUAUGCAGCAGUGUGGCCCUAAAAAGCCAAAAAAUAAAUAAAUAAAUAAACCACACACACACACAAAGAAAAGAAAGAAAAAUAGUGGGUGCCAGGAGAUGGGAGAGGGGAGAAUGGGGAGUUAUUGUUUAAUGGGUAUAGAUUUGCAGUUUUACAAGAUGAAAAGAGUUAUGAGGAUGGAUGGGGGUGAUGGAUGCACCAAAAUGGGACUGCAUUUAAUACUGCUGAUCUAUACACUUAAAACUGGUUGAACUGGUGAGAGAAAAAAAAAAAGGUUCUGUGUUCAACUGAAAAGACUCAGAACAGAUAAAACCUUAGUGAAGUAGGAAAAAAGAAAACACUAAUGAUAAGCGAGUAAAUGAAGGAAAUAGAAAACCCAAAGAGCAGUAGAGAAGAUGAAGAAACCAAAAGCUGAUUCCUUUGGAGGGAAAGGCUGAUAAGAAGGUGAACCUUCCAAGACACAUCAAAAUAAUAACUCAUGAGUAAUAUUAAGAAUGACAAGAGAGACAUUAUAACAAAUAUAGGAAGAUCUGUUAAAACAGUGGAAAUGGAUAAUUCUCUUUAAAAAGCAAACCAUCGUAAUGUAUCUAAGAAAUAAAAAAGCAGAUCAAUAACCAUUACAAAAACCUAAUUGUUCAUAUAGAAAUUUGUUUUUAUCCUCAGUCCCACAAAGGCAGCAAGCCCAAAUAGUUUUGUAGGUGAGUUUUAACAAAUAACAGACAAUCCUUAUUUUAUAAAAAUUGUUUCAGAGCUCCUUUUAUGAGGAUAGUAGAAUGUUGAUAGCAAAACCAGAUUAAAAUGGUACAGUAAAAAAAAGCUAAAGUGAGCUCACCUAUGAACACGGGUACAAAAAAUCUAAAUAAAAAUACAUCAUGAACAAAUAGGGUUUGGGCCAUUAUUCCCAAAAUGGAGUAAUGGCCCAAUAUCAGAAAACCUAUUUAUAUAAUAUAUCAUAGUAACAGAUCAAAGGAGAAAGUUGUUUGAUUAUAUCAAUGAAUACAGAAAAAGCAUUUGAAAAAAUUAGGAGUUACAUAUGUCUAUUCUUUUCUUAGCAAAGAAGACUAUUUUUUUUAACUUUCUAGAAAAUAACUAUCAAAAAGCAACAGCAAACAUCAUGUUUACUGUUGAACUUUUAGUAGCAUCCCCAUUAAGGUCAGGAAAAAAACAAGGCAGCUGCAGCUCUGAUUCAACCCCUAGCCUGGGAACUUCCAUAUGCCACAUGUGCAGCCCUAAAAAGCAAAAAAAUAAAAAAAUAAAUGCAAGAAAAUCCCCAAAUAAGGUAUUAAGAAUAGUCAUAUUUCUAUAAUUAUUAAUAAAAUCUAAAAUAUAAUCAUAAU
This 2917-nucleotide long non-coding RNA is filed under the name Sus scrofa (pig). RNAcentral's name for it is "lncRNA (ENSSSCG00045019607.1)". The record is from RNAcentral. Lineage: Eukaryota; Metazoa; Chordata; Mammalia; Artiodactyla; Suidae.